AAAUAAAAAAUAAAAAAAAUCAGAAACUAAUUAUUAAACGUGGUAGCAUCGAGAGUCCAUCAAAGUAGGGUUUCGUAUUCUUCAUCUUUCUCUCACUCCCUCCUCCUUGCCGCCUCUGUUAUCUUAAUUUUCAUUUUAUUUUUUAUUUUUUUUGACAUGCCGCCUCUAUUAUUGCUGGAAGCAACACUCAACAAUGGCGGAACAUGUGAGGUCAUCAGACAUGGAGAAAAUCGCACAAAAGCUAGAACAACUUGAGCAAACUAUGAGGAAUGUUAGAGAGGAUGAUCUUUCUCAAUUAGCUUAUGCGACGGUUCAAUAUAAUGCUUCAGAUUUGUCUACUUGACUUGAAUCUAUGCUUUAUGAGUUAAAUCCAUUGUCAACUACUUUCGAUCCGGCGAAUCCGAUACUACUGCCUUCUAUUGGGUUAUUAUGAUGGAGGAGGUAGGAGAUUACAGACACAACCACACAGGGGGCAGUGUAAUAGUGCAGCACACACCGCAAUGUCACAUACUCACAUCCUCUAAAGGAGAGAGAAAACCAAAGGGAUACAAUCCGUUAAGAACACAUUUAGGAUUAUUCAAACUCAGAUACAGAGUAGUCAUAUACUUCUGUAUUUUUGAGAUGGAUAUAUAAUGUUUUUAAUUAUAUUUUCAAUUAUUGAUCAUAUUAAAUUACUUGGUACUCAUUAAUUUUGUAGACUAAGAACUUUAGAUGAAAUGAAUGAAGAAUAUUAGGAAUUGAUUUGUAUAA
Molecule: long non-coding RNA, 750 nt
Organism: Spinacia oleracea (spinach)
Lineage: Eukaryota; Viridiplantae; Streptophyta; Magnoliopsida; Caryophyllales; Amaranthaceae
Exons: 3
Source: RefSeq, a predicted model, not a curated record